ACAUGCAAGUCGCACGAAGGUUUCGGCCUUAGUGGCGGACGGGUGAGUAACGCGUAGGAAUCUAUCCAUGGGUGGGGGAUAACUCUGGGAAACUGGAGCUAAUACCGCAUGAUACCUGAGGGUCAAAGGCGUAAGUCGCCUGUGGAGGAGCCUGCGUUCGAUUAGCUUGUUGGUGGGGUAAUGGCCUACCAAGGCGAUGAUCGAUAGCUGGUCUGAGAGGAUGAUCAGCCACACUGGGACUGAGACACGGCCCAGACUCC
RNAcentral lists this ribosomal RNA (260 nucleotides) under uncultured Acetobacter sp. RNAcentral's name for it is "partial 16S ribosomal RNA". It matches the Rfam family "Bacterial small subunit ribosomal RNA", at positions 53 to 339 of the family's 1533-position model. Lineage: Bacteria; Pseudomonadati; Pseudomonadota; Alphaproteobacteria; Acetobacterales; Acetobacteraceae. The record is from RNAcentral.